UCCGUAGGUGAACCUGCGGAUGGAUCAUUA
Molecule: ribosomal RNA, 30 nt
Filed under: Kriegeriaceae sp. KBP 3844
Lineage: Eukaryota; Fungi; Basidiomycota; Microbotryomycetes; Kriegeriales; Kriegeriaceae
Also listed under: 2 other names
Description: partial 18S ribosomal RNA
Source: RNAcentral